AAAAAAUUGAGGUAUUCAUUACCUCUUUUUGUAUUUUAAAAAACCUCACACUAUAAAACCUAAAAUUUUUUUUAAAAAUAAAAUUAA
RNAcentral lists this unclassified non-coding RNA (87 nucleotides) under soil metagenome. Its description in RNAcentral is "partial internal transcribed spacer 1". The record is from RNAcentral.